UUGGCUACCCCUUAAAGGCGUAAAAAUGACCCGUUAUUGAGAACCUCCGCGAUCUGUCAAAUAACGGGUCAUUUUAUCGGAUCAAUAUUACCCCUUAUUUCGAAAGGCUCGAUUCCCUUCAAAAGGGGUAGUUUUAGAUGUUGUUACAUUCAAAGCGUUAUUUUAUUUGUCCGGUGAAUAAAAUAUGCAGUGAUUGUGCACAUCAACGACAAGGUCAAAAAACAAGUAAAUUCUACUUGAAACCACGAAUGGCGGUGGAAUUUGAUGGUUUCUUCUGAUAAUACUAGCCCCUAAUAGGAUGCUGAAAAAAAAUAUCGACGCGAGGUAAAGAAAGAUUCCAAUCAUUUUUGAUUGAAAAAAAAAACGGUUGAUUCCAAGAUUGUUCCAAGAAAUGUUUUUAAAACGCAAAAUUACUGGCCAUUUUAAUAAACAAAGUGAAUUAACAUUUGGUUUUCAUUCAUUUCCCAGCAAACGAAUUUUCCAUAAUCGAAUACAAAUAUUUCUGCCAUACGAAAGCGUUUAAAAUAAGGGGUUAUUUUCAUACAUGCGUUUCAAAUAAGGGGUAAUUUUCAUCCGCUACAAGCGUUAUCAAGCUGAGUACCCCUUAAAGGGUAAAGCGGCUUUAUCCUUAAAAAGGAGUUCUCCCAGUCUUAUCGAAUAACGGGUCAAAAGUAUUCGUUAAGGGGUAACCAAAAGUUAGCG
Molecule: long non-coding RNA, 702 nt
Organism: Uranotaenia lowii
Lineage: Eukaryota; Metazoa; Arthropoda; Insecta; Diptera; Culicidae
Exons: 3
Source: RefSeq, a predicted model, not a curated record